GACGAACGCUGGCGGCGCGCCUAACACAUGCAAGUCGAACGGAGCUUAGAGAGCUUGCUUUUUAAGCUUAGUGGCGAACGGGUGAGUAACGCGUGAGUAACCUGCCCUAGAGUGGGGGACAACAGUUGGAAACGACUGCUAAUACCACAUAAGCCCACGGUACCGCAUGGUACUGAGGGAAAAGGAUUUAUUCGCUUUAGGAUGGACUCGCGUCCAAUUAGCUAGUUGGUGAGGUAACGGCCCACCAAGGCGACGAUUGGUAGCCGGACUGAGAGGUUGAACGGCCACAUUGGGACUGAGACACGGCCCAGACUCCUACGGGAGGCAGCAGUGGGGGAUAUUGCACAAUGGGGGAAACCCUGAUGCAGCGACGCCGCGUGGAGGAAGAAGGUUUUCGGAUUGUAAACUCCUGU
RNAcentral lists this ribosomal RNA (413 nucleotides) under uncultured bacterium. RNAcentral's name for it is "bacterial SSU rRNA". It matches the Rfam family "Bacterial small subunit ribosomal RNA", at positions 28 to 436 of the family's 1533-position model. The record is from RNAcentral.